GCAGUUGUUGCACAGGCACUUUGGUGACUCUAGAUAACCUUGGGCCAAUCAAACGUGACGGCGACGAUGCAUUCGGAUGUCUGCCCUAUCAACUUUUGAUGGUACUUUCUGCGCCUACUAUGGUGACCAUGGGUAACGGGGAACCAGGGUUCGAUUCCGAAGAGGGAGCCUGAGAAACAGCUACCAAAUCCAAGGAAGGCAGCAGGCGCGCAAAUUACCUACUCCCGACGCGGGGAGUUAGUGAC
This is a non-coding RNA of Pelobates cultripes (western spadefoot toad), 245 nucleotides long. The record is from the annotation of a GenBank genome assembly. NCBI's taxonomy places the organism in Eukaryota, Metazoa, Chordata, Amphibia, Anura, Pelobatidae.